GAUCAAGUGAAUAAGCGCAUACGGUGGAUGCCUUGGCGACAACAGGCGAUGAAGGACGUAGUAGCUUGCGAUAAGCCCCGGCGAGCCAGCAAACAGGCUUUGACCCGAGGAUUUCCGAAUGGGGGAACCCGGCCAGCAAUGGUCACUAAUAUCUGAAUACAUAGGGUAUUAGAGCGAACCUGGAGAACUGAAACAUCUAAGUAACCAGAGGAAAAGAAAUCAACCGAGAUUCCCAAAGUAGCGGCGAGCGAAAUGGGAACAGCCCUUAAGCUUAUAUAGUCUUAGUAGAAGUGUCUGGAAAGUCACACCACAGAGAGUGAUAGUCUCGUAUACGAAAAGGCAAUUUAAGUGAAAUCGAGUAGGGCGGAGCACGAGAAACUCUGUCUGAACAUGGGGGGACCAUCCUCCAAGGCUAAAUACUCGUUGUCGACCGAUAGUGAACCAGUACCGUGAGGGAAAGGCGAAAAGAACCCCUGAUAGGGGAGUGAAAUAGAACCUGAAACCGUAUGCGUACAAGCAGUGGGAGCACCUUUAUGGUGUGACUGCGUACCUUUUGUAUAAUGGGUCAGCGACUUAUAUCUCAGUAGCAAGCUUAACCGAAUAGGGGAGGCGUAGGGAAACCGAGUCUUAAUAGGGCGUCAAGUUGCUGGGAAUAGACCCGAAACCGAGCGAUCUAGCCAUGGGCAGGUUGAAGGUCAGGUAACACUGACUGGAGGACCGAACCCACUUAUGUUGAAAAAUGAGGGGAUGACCUGUGGCUAGGAGUGAAAGGCUAAUCAAGCUCGGAGAUAGCUGGUUCUCCUCGAAAGCUAUUGAGGUAGCGCCUCGUGUCUCACUCCUGGGGGUAGAGCACUGUUUGGGCUAGGGGGUCAUCUCGACUUACCAACCCCAUGCAAACUCCGAAUACCAGGAAGUGCAAUCACGGGAGACACACGGCGGGUGCUAACGUCCGUCGUGGAGAGGGAAACAACCCAGACCGCCAGCUAAGGUCCCAAAAUUACAGCUCAGUGGGAAACGAUGUGGAAAGGCCCAGACAGCCAGGAGGUUGGCUUAGAAGCAGCCACCCUUUAAAGAAAGCGUAAUAGCUCACUGGUCGAGUCGGUCUGCGCGGAAGAUAUAACGGGGCUAAGCUGUAUACCGAAGCUGCGGAUGCCGCAAGGCAUGGUAGAGGAGCGUUCUGUACGCCUGCGAAGGUGAGUUGAAAAGCUUGCUGGAGGUAUCAGAAGUGCGAAUGCUGACAUGAGUAACGACAAUGUGGGUGAAAAACCCACACGCCGAAAACCCAAGGUUUCCUGCGCAACGUUAAUCGGCGCAGGGUGAGUCGACCCCUAAGGCGAGGCAGAAAUGCGUAGUCGAUGGGAAACUGGUUAAUAUUCCAGUACCACUUAAUACUGCGAUGAGGGGACGGAGAAGGCUAAAUCAUCCAACUGUUGGAAUAGUUGGUUCAAGGUAGUAGGCAGAUAACUUAGGCAAAUCCGGGUUAUCAAUGCUGAGAGCUGAUGACGAGCACCUUUAUGGAGCGAAGUGAUUGAUGCCAUGCUUCCAGGAAAAGCCUCUAAGCAUAGGUAUUAAGUGAUCGUACCCCAAACCGACACAGGUGGGUAGGGAGAGAAUCCUAAGGCGCUUGAGAGAACUCUGGUGAAGGAACUAGGCAAAAUAGCACCGUAACUUCGGGAGAAGGUGUGCCCCGAUUAUGUGAAGCAAUUUACUUGUGGAGCAGAAAGGGGUUGCAGUGACUAGGUGGCUGCGACUGUUUACUAAAAACACAGCACUCUGCUAAAUCGAAAGAUGACGUAUAGGGUGUGACGCCUGCCCGGUGCCGGAAGGUUAAUUGAUGAUGUUAUCUUCGGAGAAGCAUUUGAUCGAAGCCCCGGUAAACGGCGGCCGUAACUAUAACGGUCCUAAGGUAGCGAAAUUCCUUGUCGGGUAAGUUCCGACCUGCACGAAUGGCGUAACGAUGGCCACACUGUCUCCACCAGAGACUCAGUGAAAUUGAAAUCGCUGUUAAGAUGCAGUGUACCCGCGGCUAGACGGAAAGACCCCGUGAACCUUUACUACAGCUUUGCACUGGACUUUGAGCCUGUUUGUGUAGGAUAGGUGGGAGGCUAUGAAACCAUGACGCUAGUUAUGGUGGAGCUGACCUUGAAAUACCACCCUGACAUGUUUGAGGUUCUAACCUGGUCCCCUAAUCGGGGAUAGGGACAGUGUAUGGUGGGUAGUUUGACUGGGGCGGUCUCCUCCCAAAGAGUAACGGAGGAGCACGAAGGUAUCCUAAGGACGGUCGGAAAUCGUUCGGUUAGUGUAAUGGCACAAGGAUGCUUAACUGUGAGACAGACAAGUCGAGCAGAUACGAAAGUAGGUCAUAGUGAUCCGGUGGUUCUGAAUGGAAGGGCCAUCGCUCAACGGAUAAAAGGUACUCCGGGGAUAACAGGCUGAUUCCUCCCAAGAGUUCACAUCGACGGGGGAGUUUGGCACCUCGAUGUCGGCUCAUCACAUCCUGGGGCUGAAGUAGGUCCCAAGGGUAUGGCUGUUCGCCAUUUAAAGUGGUACGCGAGCUGGGUUUAGAACGUCGUGAGACAGUUCGGUCCCUAUCUGCCGUGGGCGUUGGAAAUUUGAAGGGAGCUGCUCCUAGUACGAGAGGACCGGAGUGGACGUACCUCUGGUGUACCGGUUGUCACGCCAGUGGCAUUGCCGGGUAGCUAUGUACGGAACUGAUAACCGCUGAAAGCAUCUAAGCGGGAAGCAGGCCCUAAGAUAAGAUUUCCCAGACCUUUAAGGUCUCGUAAGGUUCGUUGAAGACUACGACGUAGAUAGGCAGGGUGUGGAAGCGCAGUAAUGCGUGUAGCUAACCUGUACUAAUUAACCGAGAGGCUUGAUCAU
This 2880-nucleotide ribosomal RNA is filed under the name Candidatus Venteria ishoeyi. RNAcentral's name for it is "23S ribosomal RNA". It matches the Rfam family "Bacterial large subunit ribosomal RNA". The record is from RNAcentral. Lineage: Bacteria; Pseudomonadati; Pseudomonadota; Gammaproteobacteria; Thiotrichales; Thiotrichaceae.